RNAcentral lists this ribosomal RNA (730 nucleotides) under uncultured bacterium. Its description in RNAcentral is "bacterial SSU rRNA". It matches the Rfam family "Bacterial small subunit ribosomal RNA", at positions 771 to 1501 of the family's 1533-position model. The record is from RNAcentral.
AACAGGAUUAGAUACCCUGGUAGUCCACGCCGUAAACGAUGUCGGCUUGGAGGUUGUGCCCUUGAGGCGUGGCUUCCGGAGCUAACGCGUUAAGUCGACCGCCUGGGGAGUACGGCCGCAAGGUUAAAACUCAAAUGAAUUGACGGGGGCCCGCACAAGCGGUGGAGCAUGUGGUUUAAUUCGAUGCAACGCGAAGAACCUUACCUACUCUUGACAUCCAGAGAACUUAGCAGAGAUGCUUUGGUGCCUUCGGGAACUCUGAGACAGGUGCUGCAUGGCUGUCGUCAGCUCGUGUUGUGAGAUGUUGGGUUAAGUCCCGCAACGAGCGCAACCCUUAUCCUUUGUUGCCAGCGGUUAGGCCGGGAACUCAAAGGAGACUGCCAGUGAUAAACUGGAGGAAGGUGGGGAUGACGUCAAGUCAUCAUGGCCCUUACGAGUAGGGCUACACACGUGCUACAAUGGCGCAUACAAAGAGAAGCGACCUCGCGAGAGCAAGCGGACCUCAUAAAGUGCGUCGUAGUCCGGAUUGGAGUCUGCAACUCGACUCCAUGAAGUCGGAAUCGCUAGUAAUCGUGGAUCAGAAUGCCACGGUGAAUACGUUCCCGGGCCUUGUACUCACCGCCCGUCACACCAUGGGAGUGGGUUGCAAAAGAAGUAGGUAGCUUAACCUUCGGGAGGGCGCUUACCACGUUGUGAUUCAUGACUGGGGUGAAGUCGUAACAAGGUAACC